UACGUAGGUGGCUAGCGUUAUCCGGAUUUACUGGGCGUAAAGAGGGUGCAGGCGGCUUUUCAAGUCGGCUAUAAAAUCUCCCGGCUUAACUGGGAGGGACUGGCCGAUACUGUUAGGCUGGAGAGCAGCAGAGGGAGAUGGAAUUCCCGGUGUAGUGGUGAAAUGCGUAGAUAUCGGGAGGAACAUCAGUGGCGAAAGCGGUCUCCUAGGCUGUUUCUGACGCUGAGGCCCUAAAGCGUGGGGAGCAAACAGG
This 253-nucleotide ribosomal RNA is filed under the name uncultured bacterium. Its description in RNAcentral is "partial 16S ribosomal RNA". It matches the Rfam family "Bacterial small subunit ribosomal RNA", at positions 524 to 776 of the family's 1533-position model. The record is from RNAcentral.